UCUAUGUAUAGUUAUGUUUUUUUAAUAUAGACAUUAGGUAGAUAGAUGAAAUUACUAAUUUUUUAUUGCCGUUAAAGAAUUUUGAAAAUUAUUUAGAUAUUGAUAUCUAUGUAUAAAGUUAAUUUUGUCUUUCCCUAAAAUUUGGUCGAUAUUUUUUUUUUGUUUUACCAUAUUGCAACUUACAAUAAUAUAUAUAGAAAUUGGCACCACAUAUUAAUUCAUUACUGUAAUUUUUUUUGCUUUUCGAUUAAAUAUCAAAUACUUAUUAUAGAUUGCCUAAUAUAUGCCCAAAGGGAACAAUGGAUUUCAUUAAUGGAAAUCAACACAAUUAAACAGAACAUAUUUGUUUGUUCAGAUCACAUCCUUAGAAGUGAUUUCUUAUAUAAGGAAGAUAAUAUUAUCAGUAGCCAGACUUAAACAGAUUAAAAAAAUCAGCUCUACCUCAAAGGUAAUUUUUUUUUAAAUAUAUUUUUCUAGUAUAAAAAAAUCGUCACAAAAAGGAUUAGUGUUACUCAUUUAUACCUAAUACUUAUUAAAUUAGGUAUGUAUGUAAAACUAUUUUUUUACUAGGAUUUCUGAUGCACUGGUUAAAAACACAGCAGCUGAUAAUUCAGUUAAUUUACCAAGUGAUUUACCCUUCAAAGCUGCAGGGGUAGCUUUUCUGAAGAGUGCAAAAUCUUCUUUAGCUUCCAAAAUGGUAUAUAGUACAAACAGUGAAGCUGAUAUAGACAAAUCUGAUCAUUCAUCAUCAACAAUAACUGCAUCUGAGAUUAAUAGUUCUACAGUAACCGUGGAGUCUAGGUCAACAAUUACUAUUUCUCAUCCAAGCCGUUUUUGUUUAACUGCUACAUAUUCCCUGACUCUGCCAAGGAAAAGGGUAAAAUCAAAAUGAUAUCCUGAGGACCUAAGCACUGAUGAUUCCACCGUUUCAAAAGCUAAAUCACUUGUUACCAAAUUAUGGAAAAAAAAUAAAGAGCAAAAAAUUAAAAUUCGAAGAUUGCAAUAAACAAAUUUGCCCCAAAGAAAUUGAAUUAGAUGUCUCAAGUUAUUAUUAAAAUACUUAAGAAAUAAUAACAUGAUUUUCGAAAAAG
This is a long non-coding RNA of Anthonomus grandis grandis, 1091 nucleotides long. RefSeq lists it as uncharacterized. The record is from RefSeq and is a predicted model, not a curated record. NCBI's taxonomy places the organism in Eukaryota, Metazoa, Arthropoda, Insecta, Coleoptera, Curculionidae. The transcript has 3 exons.